This 466-nucleotide ribosomal RNA is filed under the name uncultured bacterium. RNAcentral's name for it is "partial 16S ribosomal RNA". It matches the Rfam family "Bacterial small subunit ribosomal RNA", at positions 28 to 507 of the family's 1533-position model. The record is from RNAcentral.
GACGAACGCUGGCGGCGCGCCUAACACAUGCAAGUCGAACGAGCGAGAGAGAGCUUGCUUUCUCGAGCGAGUGGCGAACGGGUGAGUAACGCGUGAGGAACCUGCCUCAAAGAGGGGGACAACAGUUGGAAACGACUGCUAAUACCGCAUAAGCCCACGGUGCCGCAUGGCACAGAGGGAAAAGGAGCAAUCCGCUUUGAGAUGGCCUCGCGUCCGAUUAGCUAGUUGGUGAGGUAAUGGCCCACCAAGGCGACGAUCGGUAGCCGGACUGAGAGGUUGAACGGCCACAUUGGGACUGAGACACGGCCCAGACUCCUACGGGAGGCAGCAGUGGGGAAUAUUGCACAAUGGGGGAAACCCUGAUGCAGCGACGCCGCGUGGAGGAAGAAGGUCUUCGGAUUGUAAACUCCUGUUGUUGGGGAAGAUAAUGACGGUACCCAACAAGGAAGUGACGGCUAAUUACGUG